This 373-nucleotide ribosomal RNA is filed under the name uncultured bacterium. RNAcentral's name for it is "bacterial SSU rRNA". It matches the Rfam family "Bacterial small subunit ribosomal RNA", at positions 527 to 898 of the family's 1533-position model. The record is from RNAcentral.
GUAGGUGGCAAGCGUUGUCCGGAUUUACUGGGCGUAAAGAGCGCGCAGGCGGUCGGAUCAGUCGAAUGUGAAAGCCCCCGGCUCAACUGGGGAGGGUCAUUCGAUACUGUCCGACUCGAAGGCAGGAGAGGGAAGCGGAAUUCCCGGUGUAGUGGUGAAAUGCGUAGAUAUCGGGAGGAACACCAGUGGCGAAGGCGGCUUUCUGGCCUGUUCUUGACGCUGAGGCGCGAAAGCUAGGGGAGCGAACGGGAUUAGAUACCCCGGUAGUCCUAGCCGUAAACGAUGGACACUAGGUGUUGGUGGUAUCAACCCCACCAGUGCCGUAGCUAACGCAUUAAGUGUCCCGCCUGGGGAGUACGGCCGCAAGGCUAAA